RNAcentral lists this ribosomal RNA (468 nucleotides) under uncultured bacterium. Its description in RNAcentral is "partial 16S ribosomal RNA". It matches the Rfam family "Bacterial small subunit ribosomal RNA", at positions 28 to 507 of the family's 1533-position model. The record is from RNAcentral.
GACGAACGCUGGCGGCGUGCUUAACACAUGCAGGUCGAACGGAAAGGCCCUGCUUUUGUGGGGUGCUCGAGUGGCGAACGGGUGAGUAACACGUGAGUAACCUGCCCUUGACUUUGGGAUAACUUCAGGAAACUGGGGCUAAUACCGGAUAGGAGCUCCUGCUGCAUGGUGGGGGUUGGAAAGUUUCGGCGGUUGGGGAUGGACUCGCGGCUUAUCAGCUUGUUGGUGGGGUAGUGGCUUACCAAGGCUUUGACGGGUAGCCGGCCUGAGAGGGUGACCGGCCACAUUGGGACUGAGAUACGGCCCAGACUCCUACGGGAGGCGGCAGUGGGGAAUAUUGCACAAUGGGCGGAAGCCUGAUGCAGCAACGCCGCGUGCGGGAUGACGGCCUUCGGGUUGUAAACCGCUUUCGCCUGUGACGAAGCGUGAGUGACGGUAAUGGGUAAAGAAGCACCGGCUAACUACGUG